GCGGACCUUCUUGCCAGUCUCCAGGACCUUGUGGCCAACCCGGCUGCGGACACCCUUCUCCUUCGAGUAGAGCAUCACGUUGCUGUGGUGAAUAGGGAACUCCAGAGUCUUGAUUUGCCCAGUCUCGUUCUCCAUCUUGGGCUUCAGGUGCUUCUGGCCCUGGUUGACACCCUCCACCACCACCUUGCCCUUCUUGGCGAGCACCUUGAUAAUGGUGCCCACCUUGCCCUUGUCCUUGCCGGCAAUAAUCUGAACGGUAUCACCCUUCUUCACGUGCAUAGGCACGCGCAGCGCCUUGCCACCGGGGCCCAGCUCAAGGUGCUCCCACUUGCGGCCACCACCAAUCUUGGGCAGGUCGCCAUAAGCGGCCACGGGGGCGCAGACCGUGGUGCGAGAGGAAAUAGGCGCACGGGGCGCGACCGAGCGGCCCAGAGUGGCGCCGGAGAACGCAGAAGUGCGGGCACUG
Molecule: long non-coding RNA, 466 nt
Filed under: Chlamydomonas reinhardtii
Lineage: Eukaryota; Viridiplantae; Chlorophyta; Chlorophyceae; Chlamydomonadales; Chlamydomonadaceae
Description: long non-coding RNA (CREI_LNC001237)
Source: RNAcentral